GGAAAGGUGCUCGAGUGGCUUAAGAGGCACGCCUGGAAAGCGUGUAAACCCCAAAAGGGUUUCCUGGGUUCGAAUCCCGGUCUUUCCG
RNAcentral lists this transfer RNA (88 nucleotides) under Paludibacteraceae bacterium. Its description in RNAcentral is "tRNA-Ser". It matches the Rfam family "tRNA". From Rfam's summary of the family: Transfer RNA (tRNA) molecules are approximately 80 nucleotides in length. Their secondary structure includes four short double-helical elements and three loops (D, anti-codon, and T loops). Further hydrogen bonds mediate the characteristic L-shaped molecular structure. tRNAs have two regions of fundamental functional importance: the anti-codon, which is responsible for specific mRNA codon recognition, and the 3' end, to which the tRNAs corresponding amino acid is attached (by aminoacyl-tRNA synthetases). tRNAs cope with the degeneracy of the genetic code in two manners: having more than one tRNA (with a specific anti-codon) for a particular amino acid; and 'wobble' base-pairing, i.e. permitting non-standard base-pairing at the 3rd anti-codon position. The record is from RNAcentral. Lineage: Bacteria; Pseudomonadati; Bacteroidota; Bacteroidia; Bacteroidales; Paludibacteraceae. RNAcentral also lists the same sequence under 1 other name.